Molecule: unclassified non-coding RNA, 277 nt
Filed under: Hevea brasiliensis (rubber tree)
Lineage: Eukaryota; Viridiplantae; Streptophyta; Magnoliopsida; Malpighiales; Euphorbiaceae
Source: RNAcentral
GUCUGGCGAUCUUUUAGCAGGCAAACAAACUAUGAAGAUAUAAUAUCCAAGAAUCAUUUUGGGGAAAAGCAUAACAUGUGUCCAUUGUAGGACAAGGAAAAUAGUUACAAGCCCCUCAUGGAGUGUACACCAUUGUAACCAAAAGAAAAAAAAGAAAGAAAUACACCACUUACAAGAACCAAAAUUCCAAACUCCAUUUUCAUUUCCCUUGUAAAAAUUCAAUUAUGUCAAAAACUCAUUCAAAUUCAUAUAGCAAUCAUAAAAAGAGUUUUAAAUU